GAACGGAGAUAUCUGAGUAGUAAUAUGAAGAUAUUUAGUGGCGGACGGGUGAGUACACGUGGGUAACCUGCCCUAUGGAGGGGGAUAACAUUCAGAAAUGAGUGCUAAUACCGCAUAAAAUAACUUUAUCGCAUGAUAGAGUUAUCAAAGAUUUAUUGCCAUAGGAUGGACCCGCGGCCCAUUAGCUAGUUGGUGAGGUAACGGCCCACCAAGGCGACGAUGGGUAGCCGAUCUGAGAGGAUGAACGGCCACAUUGGAACUGAGACACGGUCCAGACUCCUACGGGAGGCAGCAGUGGGGAAUAUUGCACAAUGGGGGAAACCCUGAUGCAGCAACGCCGCGUGAGCGAUGAAGGCCUUCGGGUCGUAAAGCUCUGUCUUAGCUGACGAUAAUGACGGUAAGCUAGGAGGAAGCCACGGCUAACUACGUGCCAGCAGCCGCGGUAAU
Molecule: ribosomal RNA, 447 nt
Filed under: uncultured bacterium
Lineage: Bacteria
Description: bacterial SSU rRNA
Rfam family: Bacterial small subunit ribosomal RNA
Source: RNAcentral